UGCAGUCGAGCGGUAGAGAGAAGCUUGCUUCUCUUGAGAGCGGCGGACGGGUGAGUAAUGCCUAGGAAUCUGCCUGGUAGUGGGGGAUAACGUUCGGAAACGGACGCUAAUACCGCAUACGUCCUACGGGAGAAAGCAGGGGACCUUCGGGCCUUGCGCUAUCAGAUGAGCCUAGGUCGGAUUAGCUAGUUGGUGGGGUAAUGGCUCACCAAGGCGACGAUCCGUAACUGGUCUGAGAGGAUGAUCAGUCACACUGGAACUGAGACACGGUCCAGACUCCUACGGGAGGCAGCAGUGGGGAAUAUUGGACAAUGGGCGAAAGCCUGAUCCAGCCAUGCCGCGUGUGUGAAGAAGGUCUUCGGAUUGUAAAGCACUUUAAGUUGGGAGGAAGGGCAUUAACCUAAUACGUUAGUGUUUUGACGUUACCGACAGAAUAAGCACCGGCUAACUCUGUGCCAGCAGCCGCGGUAAUACAGAGGGUGCAAGCGUUAAUCGGAAUUACUGGGCGUAAAGCGCGCGUAGGUGGUUCGUUAAGUUGGAUGUGAAAUCCCCGGGCUCAACCUGGGAACUGCAUUCAAAACUGUCGAGCUAGAGUAUGGUAGAGGGUGGUGGAAUUUCCUGUGUAGCGGUGAAAUGCGUAGAUAUAGGAAGGAACACCAGUGGCGAAGGCGACCACCUGGACUGAUACUGACACUGAGGUGCGAAAGCGUGGGGAGCAAACAG
RNAcentral lists this ribosomal RNA (723 nucleotides) under uncultured bacterium. RNAcentral's name for it is "bacterial SSU rRNA". It matches the Rfam family "Bacterial small subunit ribosomal RNA", at positions 56 to 775 of the family's 1533-position model. The record is from RNAcentral.